RNAcentral lists this long non-coding RNA (199 nucleotides) under Brassica napus (rape). RNAcentral describes it as "long non-coding RNA (BNAP_LNC026410)". Lineage: Eukaryota; Viridiplantae; Streptophyta; Magnoliopsida; Brassicales; Brassicaceae. The record is from RNAcentral.
UUAUAAAUUUGAUGAUAACAAUUAGUGGAAAUUCUUCACAUUUUUUUUUUAUCUAUGAACGAAUAGAGUUUCGUGUUUAAUAGAAGAAACAUGACUUUGAUGAACGCUAAAUAUGAAAGAAUAUAAUAAUUUAUUUUUUGUGCUUCGUGCUUCUGUUUUUUUUUUUUAUCAAAAUUUUGAGCUUUGAUUUUAAUUAUAG